This 292-nucleotide ribosomal RNA is filed under the name uncultured prokaryote. Its description in RNAcentral is "partial 16S ribosomal RNA". It matches the Rfam family "Bacterial small subunit ribosomal RNA", at positions 505 to 796 of the family's 1533-position model. The record is from RNAcentral.
GUGUCAGCAGCCGCGGUAAUACGUAGGGGGCUAGCGUUGUCCGGAAUCAUUGGGCGUAAAGAGCACGUAGGCCGCCCGGUCAGUCCGCUGUAAAAGUCAAAGGCUCAACCUUUGAAAGCCGGCGGAUACUGCCGGGCUAGAGUCCGGAAGAGGCGAGUGGAAUUCCUGGUGUAGCGGUGGAAUGCGCAGAUAUCGGGAGGAACACCCAUAGCGAAGGCAGCUCGCUGGGACGGUACUGACGCUGAGGUGCGAAAGCGUGGGGAGCAAACAGGAUUAGAAACCCGCGUAGUCC